UGGGCCGAGCUGGAUUUGAACCAGCGUAGACAUAUGUCACGAUUUACAGUCCGUCCCCAUUAACCGCUCGGGCAUCGACCCA
This 82-nucleotide transfer RNA is filed under the name Ravenea julietiae. RNAcentral's name for it is "tRNA-Tyr". The record is from RNAcentral. Lineage: Eukaryota; Viridiplantae; Streptophyta; Magnoliopsida; Arecales; Arecaceae.